This 253-nucleotide ribosomal RNA is filed under the name uncultured bacterium. Its description in RNAcentral is "partial 16S ribosomal RNA". It matches the Rfam family "Bacterial small subunit ribosomal RNA", at positions 524 to 776 of the family's 1533-position model. The record is from RNAcentral. RNAcentral also lists the same sequence under 1 other name.
UACGAAGGGGGCUAGCGUUGUUCGGAAUCACUGGGCGUAAAGCGCGCGUAGGCGGAUUGUUAAGUCAGGGGUGAAAUGCCGAGGCUCAACCUCGGAACUGCCUUUGAUACUGGCGAUCUUGAGUCCGGGAGAGGUGAGUGGAACUCCUAGUGUAGAGGUGAAAUUCGUAGAUAUUAGGAAGAACACCAGUGGCGAAGGCGGCUCACUGGCCCGGAACUGACGCUGAUGUGCGAAAGCGUGGGGAGCAAACAGG